GGACAUGCGCAUAGCGUGCGAUUCUGAAGAGCGGCAAAAACAUCAUUGGUGAAGAUGCGAUAGUUGUACACGUUACCACAGCAACGAUUUUUCUUCCGCAAGCAUGGCAGACAAGACUGCACCAGACUCUCAGCUGCGACUUGAGUGGGUUUUUGGCUACAGAGGCCACCAAUGUCGCAAUAAUCUUUAUUACACAGCUAACAAAGAUUUGGUUUAUUUCGUGGCAGGUGUGGGUAUUGUUUACAAUGUACGGGAUCGAAAGCAAAAAUUUUUCCUUGGACAUGAUGAUGACAUUGUAAGUUUAACGCUGCAUCCAGACCGGACACUGGUGGCAACAGGGCAGAUAGGGAAAGCACCCUACAUAUGUGUAUGGGACACUGUAACUACUGAAACUGUGUCCAUCUUAAAGGAUGGCCAUCAACAUGGUGUUGGCGCAGUGGGUUUCAACAAAGAAGGCACUCGACUGGUUUCAGUUGGGAUGGACCAGCAUUCUGUGAUCAACAUCUGGGACUGGAGAAGGGGCAAAAUUAUAGCAACAGCAAGAGGACAUUCAGACAAAGUCUUUGAUGUGCAAUUUCAACUUUACAAAGAGAAUAUGGUGGUCUCCUGUGGAGUCAAGCAUAUAAAGUUUUGGUCUCUUUCUGGGAACACUCUUUCACCUAGAAAGGGAGUGUUUGGAAAGACAGGAGAGAUUCAGACUAUGCUUUGUCUGGCUUUUGGUCCUGAGUCCACAACUUAUGCAGGUACCCUUAGCGGUGAUGUGUACAUUUGGCGAGAGAGCACUCUGGACAGAGUCGUGUCACUGGCCCAUAAUGGUCCAGUCUAUACCCUUGCUAUGUGUGAAGAGGGAUUUGUAUCUGGAGGUAAAGAUGGUAUUGUUAAGUUGUGGGAUGUGGACUUCAAGCCUGUCACAAACAUCAGUCUUGUCAAUGCACCUUCUGGCUACAAAGGACUUUGCAUCAGGAGUGUUUGUUCAAGAGGUGACUAUGUUUUGAUUGGAACACAAGAAAGUGAAAUCUUUGAGGUGCAGAUAAAAAAUCGUGAGAAGCCAAAAUGUUGGGUGCAGGGUCAUGCAGAAGGAGAAUUAUGGGCCUUGGCUGUCCACCCCAAAAAGCCCAUCUUUGCUACAGGCAGUGAUGAUCAAACUGUAAGAUUGUGGAAUAUGAACAGCUAUGAAUUGCUCUCUAGAACUACAGUGGAACAAAAAGUGCGCUCCUGUAGCUUUGAUGCUGAAGGCCAGCACCUGGCCUUGGGCAUGAUGGAUGGCUCAUUCCUGGUUCUGAAUACUAGAGAUCUGUCAGAAAUAAUUCAUAUCAAGGAUCGCAAGGAAGUGAUUCAUGAGAUGAAGUACUCACCCUGUGGUAAAUUCCUAGCUGUAGGUUCCAAUGACAACUUUGUUGACAUCUACUCUGUAGAACAGCGCUAUAAGCGGGUGGGUACUUGCUCAGGAAGCUCCAGUUUCAUCACACAUAUAGACUGGUCUGUAGACAGCAAGUUUUUGCAGACCAACAGUGGCGCUGGAGAACAUCUCUUUUUCAGGAUGCCAACUGGGAAACAGGUGACAAGCAAAGAGGAGAUACAGAGCAUACACUGGGCAACAUUUACUGGAGUGCUAGGAGCUGAAGUCAAUGGUAUUUGGGAAAAAUACACAGACACUAAUGACGUCAAUGCCACAGAUGCCAACUUCAGUGCACAAGUUACAGUCACGGGUGAUGAUUUUGGCUGGGUCAAACUGUUCCGCUUUCCAUGCUUAAAAAAAGGUGCUAAAUUUAGGAAGUACGUGGGACACUCUGCACAUGUCACAAAUGUACGCUUUUCUUCAGACAAGCAAAGAGUGAUCACAACAGGUGGUGCUGAUCAUGCCAUUUUUCAGUGGCGUUUCCUGUCACAAGGCACUGGUCAUGAUGAUGAUCUGCCUGAUGUCCACAAUGCUUAUGUGGAUUCCAACAGUGAAGGAAGUGAUUCUGAACUGUCAGAUGUAGCUUCUUUGGAUUCUGAUGUGGAGCAAGAGAAACAGAUUCAGUAUCAGCGCUGCCUGUAUCGUGAAGAUGCUGCACAGAUGAAAAAGCUUAUACAACAGGAGAUAAAGCCUGGAGAAAAACGCAAACAAGGACCCAAUGAUGGUCUGCGACUGGAGUAUGUCCAUGGAUAUCGAGGAUAUGACUGCCGCAAUAACCUGUUUUACACCCAGACAGGUGAAGUUGUUUAUCAUGUGGCAGCAGUUGGGAUAGUGUACAACAAGGAGAAGAACCAACAGCGAUUUUACACGGAACACUCUGAUGACAUUCUGUGUCUCUGCAUCCAUCCUCUUAAAGACCUUAUUGCUACAGGACAGGUUGGACGAGAUCCUAGCAUUCAUGUCUGGGAUGCAGAAACUUUGAAGACUGGAGCCAUUCUCAAGGGCCAACAUGAAAGAGGUGUUUGUGCUGUGGAUUUCUCAGCUGAUGGCAGGCAUCUUGCAUCAGUUGGGUUGGACGAUAACCACUGUAUAGUUGUGUGGGACUGGAAGAAGGGAGAAAAACUAGCUACCACCAGGGGACACAAAGACAAAAUUUUUGUGGUAAAGUGGAAUCCUUUUGAUGCAACCAAACUGGUCACAGUCGGUGUCAAACACAUCAAGUUCUGGAAUCAGACAGGAGGAGGUUUCACUUCCAACAGAGGUACAGUAGGUCAGGUGGCUAAACUAUGUGACAUGAUGUGUGUGUCAUAUGGUAAAACAGCAGAUGUUUGCUUCUCUGGAGGCGCAGAUGGCAACAUCUUCAUAUGGAAUGGAUUGGUCCUCCAGAAAGUAGUCAAGGCCCAUGAUGGCCCUGUUUUUGCCAUGCACUCACUUGACAAAGGCUUUGUGACUGGUGGCAAGGAUGGUGUUAUUGGUCUUUGGGAUGACCAGUUUGAGAAAUGUCUUAAAACAUACAGCAUUAAAAAAGCAUCCAUUGCCCAAGGGUCAAGGGGCAUACUAACAUUGGAAUCGCCUGCUGUACGUGCCAUUGUACUAGGUCAUGGCAAGAUUUUGGUAGGCACUGUGACUGGAGAAAUUCUUGAAGUGGACAAAGCUGGACCUAUGUCUAUUCUAGCACAGGGCCACAUGCAGGGAGAGCUGUGGGGGUUGGCUACCCAUCCUGCUAAACCCUUGUAUGCCACAGUCAGUGAUGACAAGACCUUGAGAAUCUGGUCUUGUGAAGAUGCCCAUCAGCUUAUAAGCAUGAAGGAACUGAAGCAUGCUGGCCGUUGUGUUUGUUUUUCACCUGAUGGAAAGUUCCUUGCUGUUGGGUUUAAGGAUGGAAGUUUCACAGUGGUAAAUGCAGACACAUUGGAUCCCGUGGCAUCAUUUCAUCACAGGAAAGAAGAAAUUUCAGAUAUACGUUUUUCACCAGACAUAGGAAAGUAUUUGGCUGUAGCAUCCCAUGACAACUUUGUUGACAUCUAUAAUGUCCUGGGUAGCAAGCGCAUUGGCACCUGCAAAGGAGCUUCAAGUUACAUCACUCAUAUUGACUGGGAUAAAAAAGGCAAAGUUCUUAUGGUGAACUCUGGAGCGAAAGAACUGCUUUUCUUUGAGGCUCCUAGAGGAAAACGAAUCACGAUCAACAGCUCAGAGAUUGAAAAAUUCAGCUGGUCAACAUGGACAGGUGUGCUUGGUGCAGCUUGUGAAGGAGUGUGGCCUCCAAAAAGUGAUGUAACUGAUGUCAAUGCUGCAUGUUUGUCACCUGAUAAUACUCUCCUGGCUACUGCUGAUGACUUUGGUUUUGUUAAACUAUUUAGCUACCCUGUAAAGGGGAAGUUUGCCAAGUACAAGAAGUAUGUUGGUCACAGCGCCCAUGUCACUAAUGUUCGAUGGACAGGUGAUGGCCGCAGACUGAUUUCAACUGGGGGUGCUGAUACAGCUGUGAUGGUGUGGACUCGUCAGUCUGUAGGAGAAAGAGGACUGUCUAAAGGAGAUAGUGAUGACUCUGAUACUGACUCAGAAGAAGAAGGUUAUGACAGUGAUGUAGAGAGGGAGAAGAAUAUUGAUUACACCACAAAGAUCUUUGCCACAUCUGUUCAGAGGAAGGAGGGUGUGCGUCCAAACCUGCAAGAAAUUGAGGAAGUUAAAAAACCAGCUGUCAGUCGUAAUGCACCAGAGCCUCCCAAGGUGAAGAUGGCAGAGCCAGUUACAACAGGCGGCAAGAAGAGGAAAAUAACACAAGUGACAAACCUUGAGUUGGAACGCAUCCAGGGGUACAGAGGGUUUGAUGCUCGCAGCAAUUUGUUUUAUGUUAAUGAUGGCAGUGAUAUUAUCUUCCACGCUGCUGGUGCUGGCAUUGUGCAGAACCUGUCCUCAGGUGCUCAGUCAUUCUACCUUAAACACACUGAUGACAUCAUUGCACUUGCUGUCAAUAAACAUCCAAAAUUUCGCAAUGUCAUUGCUACAGCACAGAUCAGUGAUGUGCCAACUGUGCACAUCUGGGAUGCCAGCUCAAAAGAUACUCUGUCAGUCCUGCAGGGAAAUCACAAAACUGGAAUAUGCUCUCUGGACUUUUCUUGCACUGGCAAGAUGCUUCUGACAGUUGGGCUGGAGAAUGAGCACAAUAUUAUUAUCUGGCGGUGGCAGGAUGGUGUCAAGGUGGCAGGUGCACCAGGUCACAGCAAGCGCAUUUUCCGAGCAGAAUUUCGGCCUGACUCUGAUACUCAGUUUGUGACUGUAGGUGUCAAACAUGUAAAAUUCUGGUCAGUCGCUGGAGGCCAGCUUGUUGGGAAGCGGGGAAUAAUUGGUGCUGUGGCCAGUCCAUCAGGUCCCAUGUACAAAAUGCAGACCAUGCUAUCUGUUGCAUUUGGGACGAAUAAUGUGACAUACACAGGAGCCAUCAGUGGUGAUGUUUAUGUGUGGCAGGACUCAAGCCUAACACGUGUGGUGACAAAGGCACAUAAUGGACCUGUUUUUGCCAUGUUUACAACUCUUAGAGAUGGUCUUCUUGUCACAGGUGGAAAGGAAAUAUCAUCUAAAGACAGUGGACCUGUUAAGCUGUGGGACCCAGAGAUGAAAAGGUGUCGAGCGUUUCCAAUCACAGAGGCUGGAACUGCAUUGGAGAGUGUGAAAUCUGUCUGUCGAGCAAAAGGAAAAAUUCUUGUAGGUACACGUAAAAAUCAAAUUCUAGAAGUGAAUGAGAAAACAGGCAAUAUGCAGCUUCUGAUGUCUGCACAUGCUGAGGGGCUGUUGUGGGCACUGGACUGUCAUCCCCUAGCUGCCCGCUACAUCACUGCUGGCUUUGACAACACACUCCGCCUCUGGGACAUACCAAACAAGUCAAUGGUUGCCAGAAUGGAAGUUGGAAGUGCACGGUCUGCCUCAUUCAGCCCAGAUGGAGAUUUGAUUGCAGUCGGUCUGAAAACUGGUGAAUUCAUCUUGCUGGCCACAGCAGGCUUCAAGCUCUGGGGACGUAAACGAGAUAGAUCUGCUCCCAUUAAUGAUAUCAGGUUUAGCCCAGACUCCAAAAUACUUGCUGUUGGAUCUGAGGAUUGCUGUGUGGACUUUUAUGAUCUGACUUCUGGUCCUUCCCUAACUCGCACUGGGUACUGCAAGGGUAUCCCUAGCUUUGUCAUCCAGAUGGAUUUUUCAGCUGACAGCCAUUACAUUAGGGUAAGCACUGGAGCUUACAUCAACCAAGUGUUUGUGGUACCUGCUGGCAACCUACUAGAGGAUGAGGCGAUCAUAAACAAGAUUACCUGGAAUACCUGGACGAGUGUCCUUGGGAAAGAAGUUUUGGGAAUCUGGCCUAAGGAUUCAAGUAAAGCUGAUAUAAACUGUGCUGACCUGUCUCAUCUUGGCAAUGCAUUGGCUACUGGUGAUGAUUUUGGAUCUGUCAAGUUGUUCGAGUUCCCUUGUCCAGACAAGUUUAACAUGGCACCUCACAAAACAUUUGUUGGCCAUUCGGCACAUGUGACGGGCGUGCGCUUCACAUUCGAUGAUAAAUAUCUCAUCAGCAUUGGAGGCGAUGAUUGUUGCAUAUUCAUAUGGAAAUGCAUUUGAAAGGAUUUGCUUACAACCCUAGAGCUAUGACUAACAGCAACAUUGUCAACACUGCCACCCAGAUGUGUAAAGAAAUUGUACUAUAUUAUUGUAAUAUCUACACAGUUAUGGCACUUAAGUUGAGGUUCUCAUCUGCAAUUUGAUGAUUAUAUAGGCUCUAAUAUUUCUGUUGAAAAAGUUUCCCAUUAUCCCUUUAUAUGAACAUUUAUAUCUUUCUUGAUAUCUGAACUUUUCACUUUUAUCCAUAACAGAUUAUCAGUUAGCUUUAUCUAUAUUAGAUUAUAUAUCUUCCGUCCAUUUACUGAUUUACUUAUACACAAUUUUACUACUGUCUCCAGCUUAAUUAUCCCUUCACAAUUUGCACUUCAAAUGUGAAUGUCUUCAUAGCUACAGCUCAUUUUCAUCAAUACACCAUUUUGAAUAAGCUAAUGUUCUCCUUAUCUUUAGACACAUUUUUAGCUGCUGUAAAACUUUUUUAAAAACAAAUUCUUUUUCAUAAGACAAAAUCAAAAGGGGGCUGUAGGUUCAGAUUGUCUGCAGUCACAAACCUCUGUGGAUGUGGAGCCUGUUAAAAGUGCUGGACUAGCUCAGCAUGAUGCACGUCCUCAAUUGCUGCACUCUAGAUAAUUUUUGUCUUUGUCCUUAAUCCCUUAUUGUGAUAAUUAGUCCUUAUUUGUGAUAUGUGAUACAUGCAGUCUCUGUGAUAGUGAAGUUGGUAUUACACAGACUUAAUAUAUAUAGAUAUUCUAAUAUAACUUUUCAUGUACUUAUAAAUGUCUUCACUUUGUUUUUUUCUUUGUAGCAGUAUAAUCUCUUCUUAGAAAUUUUGCAUAUCUGACUUACUCAGAGCUACUAUAUCUUGUCAUUCUUGUGUUAUUUAUUUGAAAACAGUCAUGUGAUGUAUAAUAGCAAGUUCUUAAGCUGUCUUUUAGAGCGGCUUAUAUUUAGCUUUACAGUUGGCAGUGGACAACUGUUAAUAAGGAAUUGAAAUAAAUCUCUGAGCUGUGACAUAAAUACCUUAUAUUUAACAUGUAUUGAGAUGUCAAAUGUUGUGGCCCUUGUCCAUUUCUACAAAUUUUUAUGAACAUUAAUGUUCUUACAAAACUUAAAAAAGAAUACCUGUAGCAGUAGCAAAUCACGGAAUAUUUGCACCAAUUUUUAUAUUGUACGCCUUGUUGUGAGAGACGUUUAUUUUUUACUGUGAUACAAAGUAUAAAUGUUGAUCAGUGAAAAUUUUGACCUGAUCUAUAUUGAUGUAAUAUAUGCAAUGUGCCUUUUUAUGAGAUCGUUAUGACUGGUGUAGCACUAUAAUUACAAAAGUAGCAGACAUUUGGAUUCAGUAAUUAUUUAGUGACAUUGCACUUCUUCAAGAAGGUUGCACUUAAUUGAAGACAAAUGUAAAAUAAAUAUUUAAUAUGCUGACACGA
RNAcentral lists this unclassified non-coding RNA (7431 nucleotides) under Pomacea canaliculata. RNAcentral's name for it is "echinoderm microtubule-associated protein-like 6, transcript variant X3". The record is from RNAcentral. Lineage: Eukaryota; Metazoa; Mollusca; Gastropoda; Architaenioglossa; Ampullariidae.